RNAcentral lists this ribosomal RNA (484 nucleotides) under uncultured bacterium. RNAcentral describes it as "partial 16S ribosomal RNA". It matches the Rfam family "Bacterial small subunit ribosomal RNA", at positions 30 to 507 of the family's 1533-position model. The record is from RNAcentral.
AUUGAACGCUGGCGGCAGGCCUAACACAUGCAAGUCGAGCGGAUGAAGGGAGCUUGCUCCUGGAUUCAGCGGCGGACGGGUGAGUAAUGCCUAGGAAUCUGCCGGCUAGGGGGGUAUAACGUCCGGAAACGGGCGCUAAUACCGCAGACGUCCUGCUGGAGCAAGUGGGGGAGCUUCGGAACUCACGCUAGCAUAUGAGCCUAGGUCGGAUUAGCUAGUUGGUGGGGUAAAGGCCUACCAAGCCGAGGAUCCGUAACUGGUCUGAGAGGAGGAUCAGUCACCCUGGAACUGGGACACGGUCCAGACUACUGCGGGAGGCAGCAGUGGGGAAUGUUGGACAAUGGGGGAAAGCAUGAUACAGCCAUGCCGCGCGUGUUAAGAAGGUCCUCGGAUUGUAAAGCCCUUUAAGUUGGGGGGAAGGGCAGUAAGUUGAGACCUUGCUGUUUUGACGUUACCAACAGAAUAAGCACCGGCUAACUUCGUG